RNAcentral lists this ribosomal RNA (707 nucleotides) under uncultured bacterium. RNAcentral describes it as "bacterial SSU rRNA". It matches the Rfam family "Bacterial small subunit ribosomal RNA", at positions 54 to 761 of the family's 1533-position model. The record is from RNAcentral.
CAUGCAAGUCGAACGAAGCACUUAAGAUUGACUCUUCGGAUGAUUUCUUUUGUGACUUAGUGGCGGACGGGUGAGUAACGCGUGGGUAACCUGCCUCACACAGGGGGAUAACAGUUAGAAAUGACUGCUAAUACCGCAUAACCCGAUAGGAUCGCAUGAUCCAGACGGAAAAGAUUUAUCGGUGUGAGAUGGACCCGCGUCUGAUUAGCUAGUUGGUGAGGUAACGGCCCACCAAGGCGACGAUCAGUAGCCGGCCUGAGAGGGUGAACGGCCACAUUGGGACUGAGACACGGCCCAAACUCCUACGGGAGGCAGCAGUGGGGAAUAUUGCACAAUGGGGGAAACCCUGAUGCAGCGACGCCGCGUGAGUGAAGAAGUAUUUCGGUAUGUAAAGCUCUAUCAGCAGGGAAGAAAAUGACGGUACCUGACUAAGAAGCCCCGGCUAACUACGUGCCAGCAGCCGCGGUAAUACGUAGGGGGCAAGCGUUAUCCGGAUUUACUGGGUGUAAAGGGAGCGUAGACGGUCAAGCAAGUCAGAAGUGAAAGGCUGGGGCUCAACCCCGGGACUGCUUUUGAAACUGUUUGACUAGAGUGCUGGAGAGGUAAGCGGAAUUCCUAGUGUAGCGGUGAAAUGCGUAGAUAUUAGGAGGAACACCAGUGGCGAAGGCGGCUUACUGGACAGUAACUGACGUUGAGGCUCGAAAGCG